Molecule: ribosomal RNA, 626 nt
Filed under: uncultured Actinomycetes bacterium
Lineage: Bacteria; Bacillati; Actinomycetota; Actinomycetes
Description: bacterial SSU rRNA
Rfam family: Bacterial small subunit ribosomal RNA
Source: RNAcentral
CCACGGUUUCUGCGACGCAGCUAACGCAUUAAGCGCCCCGCCUGGGGAGUACGAUCGCAAGAUUAAAACUCAAAGGAAUUGACGGGGCCCCGCACAAGCAGCGGAGCAUGCGGCUUAAUUCGACGCAACGCGAAGAACCUUACCAAGGCUUGACAUAUAGGGAAAAGCAGCAGAGAUGUUGUGUCCGCAAGGGCUCUAUACAGGUGGUGCAUGGUUGUCGUCAGCUCGUGUCGUGAGAUGUUGGGUUAAGUCCCGCAACGAGCGCAACCCUCGUUCUGUGUUGCCAGCAUUUAGUUGGGGACUCACAGGAGACUGCCGGGGUUAACUCGGAGGAAGGUGGGGAUGACGUCAAAUCAUCAUGCCCCUUAUGUCUUGGGCUGCACGCAUGCUACAAUGGCCGAUACAAAGGGCUGCAAUACCGCAAGGUGGAGCGAAUCCCAAAAAGUCGGUCUCAGUUCGGAUUGGGGUCUGCAACUCGACCCCAUGAAGUCGGAGUUGCUAGUAAUCGUAGAUCAGCAACGCUACGGUGAAUACGUUCCCGGGGCUUGUACACACCGCCCGUCACAUCACGAAAGUCGGUAACACCCAAAGUCAGUGGCCCAACCGCAAGGAGGGAGCUGCCAAAG